Molecule: long non-coding RNA, 124 nt
Organism: Sander lucioperca (pikeperch)
Lineage: Eukaryota; Metazoa; Chordata; Actinopteri; Perciformes; Percidae
Exons: 3
Source: RefSeq, a predicted model, not a curated record
AAACUUUAUCUGCCACAGAGUUUCUUGUCAAACGCAAGUUGCUUCUGCUCCGACAGCGUUCUAAGGCCAUUGUAGGAAAAAACAAUAAUGUUACGGACCAGGGAGAGAAGGCUAGCAACCCUGA